RNAcentral lists this ribosomal RNA (253 nucleotides) under uncultured prokaryote. RNAcentral's name for it is "partial 16S ribosomal RNA". It matches the Rfam family "Bacterial small subunit ribosomal RNA", at positions 524 to 776 of the family's 1533-position model. The record is from RNAcentral.
UACGGGGGGAGCAAGCGUUAUCCGGAUUUACUGGGCGUAAAGGGUGCGCAGGCGGUCGGGUGUGUCAGAUGUGGAAUCCCGAGGCUCAACCUCGGAACUGCGUCUGAAACUACUCGACUAGAGUACUGGAGAGGGAAACGGAAUUCACGGUGUAGCAGUGAAAUGCGUAGAUAUCGUGAGGAACACCAGAGGCGAAGGCGGUUUCCUGGACAGUUACUGACGCUCAGGCACGAAAGCAUGGGGAGCAAAAGGG